Molecule: ribosomal RNA, 560 nt
Filed under: uncultured bacterium
Lineage: Bacteria
Description: bacterial SSU rRNA
Rfam family: Bacterial small subunit ribosomal RNA
Source: RNAcentral
CCUACGGGAGGCAGCAGUGGGGAAUCUUGCGCAAUGGGCGAAAGCCUGACGCAGCCAUGCCGCGUGAAUGAUGAAGGUCUUAGGAUUGUAAAAUUCUUUCAGUAGGGACGAUAAUGACGGUACCUACAGAAGAAGCCCCGGCUAACUUCGUGCCAGCAGCCGCGGUAAUACGAAGGGGGCUAGCGUUGCUCGGAAUUACUGGGCGUAAAGGGAGCGUAGGCGGGUUAUCAAGUUGGAGGUGAAAGCCCAGGGCUCAACCUUGGAAUUGCCUUCAAAACUGAUAGCCUAGAGUAUGAUAGAGGUAAGUGGAACUCCGAGUGUAGAGGUGAAAUUCGUAGAUAUUCGGAAGAACACCAGUGGCGAAGGCGACUUACUGGAUCAUGACUGACGCUGAGGCUCGAAAGCGUGGGGAGCAAACAGGAUUAGAUACCCUGGUAGUCCACGCUGUAAACGAUGAUUGCUAGUUGUCGGACGGCAUGCCGUUCGGUGACGCAGCUAACGCAUUAAGCAAUCCGCCUGGGGAGUACGGUCGCAAGAUUAAAACUCAAAGGAAUUGACGG